RNAcentral lists this ribosomal RNA (305 nucleotides) under uncultured bacterium. Its description in RNAcentral is "bacterial SSU rRNA". It matches the Rfam family "Bacterial small subunit ribosomal RNA", at positions 337 to 640 of the family's 1533-position model. The record is from RNAcentral.
CCCUACGGGGGGCAGCAGUGAGGAAUAUUGGUCAAUGGGCGAGAGCCUGAACCAGCCAAGUCGCGUGAGGGAAGACGGUCCUAUGGAUUGUAAACCUCUUUUGCCGGGGAGCAAAAAGCGGUACGUGUACCGCAUCGAGAGUACCCGGAGAAAAAGCAUCGGCUAACUCCGUGCCAGCAGCCGCGGUAAUACGGAGGAUGCGAGCGUUAUCCGGAUUUAUUGGGUUUAAAGGGUGCGUAGGCGGGACGGUAAGUCAGCGGUAAAAAUGCGGAGCUCAACUCCGUCGAGCCGUUGAAACUGCCGUU